Long non-coding RNA from Papaver somniferum (opium poppy), 1078 nucleotides. RefSeq lists it as uncharacterized. NCBI's taxonomy places the organism in Eukaryota, Viridiplantae, Streptophyta, Magnoliopsida, Ranunculales, Papaveraceae. The transcript has 6 exons. The record is from RefSeq and is a predicted model, not a curated record.
GUGUAAAUAGUUUCUCUGGUCCGAACUUCCGAGGUUUCCUUAUAUUUUCCUUCCUUUAUUAUCACUUCUUUCUCAGAUAUCUCUUUCCAUCUCAUUUCCUAUUCCUAAACGAGUGAAAAACCAAAUAAAAAUCUCAAUCUCGGUUUCUCAUCGUCUUCUCUUGUCUUUCUUAUACUCAGAUUCAUCAUUGAAACCCUCCAUGAAAACUCUGCACUUGUUUACAUCGAUUAAGAUUUGAAUCACCAGUUGCAAUCUGAAAAUACCGUUGGUAAUGCAAGAGCAGGAUCAAAUAAUUUUAAAUCAGAUGUUCUAUGACCUUUUAGAUUCAACUCAAGACUUUCAAUACAAGAUGUUGAAUCUAUUGAAUCUAACAAUUAAGCUACUGAACAAGAUGUUGAAGGAGGAGAAAUUAUUAUUAUUAUAGAUCACAAUCUAAGAAGUUAAGAUGUCUAUCUGUAAAGGGAAUCCUAAAAAAGUCCAGUUUGGAUGGUGGUGAAAAGAUUAACAACUCCCAACAACUUCUAAGUUAUGGAAUUUCUUGAAUGGAUGAAAGUUGCUUGUAAGGGGUUCUCCUGCCAUUUAUGUGUACUUUAUGUUUUUCUUGUUGUUGAUGUGUGGUUAUGCUCCAACGGUGGUUCUUUAAGGAAGCUAGUGUGGAAGAAUGAGAAGAUGCUGAAAUACUUAACCGAAUAUCAGAAUAAAAAAGGGGGUAAAGUCAAGCUACAAUCUAUGAUGAUACCAUGUCUGAAUCCGAUCAACUGAGAAAGGGAAAGCGUUGUAAGGUAAUCAUGGAUUACAUGCUAACAAACCCGAGUGACACGGCAACUUGAAUGUUGAUUAACAUCUUUCAUACAAAUACAGAGGUUGAGCUUGUUGGGUGCUUAAUGGACCUGAUUAGAGACAGUUUGUUAAUAAAUGAAGGCAUAGAUAGUGAAGUCCCUCCUUAACUUAGUGUAGAUUUUCUGGUUUAUUAGCUUGGAACAGGAAUAUGAAAUUAAGUAGAUGAAGUUUUGAGAUUUGGAAAAAGUAUUUUAGACUGUUGGCGCUUUUUAAUGCAAAUUUCGUUUUGAUUUACUGU